RNAcentral lists this ribosomal RNA (720 nucleotides) under uncultured bacterium. RNAcentral's name for it is "bacterial SSU rRNA". It matches the Rfam family "Bacterial small subunit ribosomal RNA", at positions 9 to 697 of the family's 1533-position model. The record is from RNAcentral.
GAGUUUGAUCCUGGCUCAGAUUGAACGCUGGCGGCAGGCCUAACACAUGCAAGUCGAGCGGAAACGAGUUAACUGAACCUUCGGGGAACGUUAACGGCGUCGAGCGGCGGACGGGUGAGUAAUGCCUGGGAAAUUGCCCUGAUGUGGGGGAUAACCAUUGGAAACGAUGGCUAAUACCGCAUAAUAGCUUCGGCUCAAAGAGGGGGACCUUCGGGCCUCUCGCGUCAGGAUAUGCCCAGGUGGGAUUAGCUAGUUGGUGAGGUAAUGGCUCACCAAGGCGACGAUCCCUAGCUGGUCUGAGAGGAUGAUCAGCCACACUGGAACUGAGACACGGUCCAGACUCCUACGGGAGGCAGCAGUGGGGAAUAUUGCACAAUGGGCGCAAGCCUGAUGCAGCCAUGCCGCGUGUAUGAAGAAGGCCUUCGGGUUGUAAAGUACUUUCAGCAGUGAGGAAGGUGGGUAUGUUAAUAGCAUACUCAUUUGACGUUAGCUGCAGAAGAAGCACCGGCUAACUCCGUGCCAGCAGCCGCGGUAAUACGGAGGGUGCGAGCGUUAAUCGGAAUUACUGGGCGUAAAGCGCAUGCAGGUGGUUUGUUAAAGUCAGAUGUGAAAGCCCNGGGCUCAUCCUCGGAAAUUGCUUUUGAAACUGGGCAAACUANAAGAACUGUAGAGGGGGGGGUAGAAUUUUCAUGGUGUAGCGGGUGAAAUCGCGUUANAUAU